UCGCCUCACCGCGAGUACUGGUCCGGCUGGACCUUUCCUUCUGGGGAACCUCAUGGCCUUCACUGGCUGUGGGGGGAACCAGGACUUUUACUGUGAAAAAAUUAGAGUGUUCAAAGCAGGCCUUUGCUCGGAUACAUUAGCAUGGAAUAAUAGAAUAGGACGUGCGGUUCUAUUUUGUUGGUUUCUAGGACCGCCGUAAUGAUUAAUAGGGAUAGUCGGGGGCGUCAGUAUUCAGCUGUCAGAGGUGAAAUUCUUGGAUUUGCUGAAGACUAACUACUGCGAAAGCAUUCGCCAAGGAUGUUUUCAUUAAUCAGGGAACGAAAGUUAGGGGAUCGAAGACGAUCAGAUACCGUCGUAGUCUUAACCAUAAACUAUGCCGACUAGGGAUCGGGCGGCGUUUCUAUUAUGACCCGCUCGGCACCUUACGAGAAAUCAAAGUUUUUGGGUUCUGGGGGGAGUAUGGUCGCAAGGCUGAAACUUAAAGAAAUUGACGA
This 494-nucleotide ribosomal RNA is filed under the name Trichocomaceae sp. RNAcentral's name for it is "SSU rRNA". It matches the Rfam family "Eukaryotic small subunit ribosomal RNA", at positions 660 to 1159 of the family's 1831-position model. The record is from RNAcentral. Lineage: Eukaryota; Fungi; Ascomycota; Eurotiomycetes; Eurotiales; Trichocomaceae.